CUGAAACGACCAAAAUGGACUUGAGUGAAUACGAAGAAGUGGAAAAACCUGAGAGACUUUUUUAUCAGCUGGCACCACAUAUGUAAUACCACACGAUAAUUAACACGUAAUUACACACAAGCAUGAAUGUGGGCAAUGACGUCAGCCAGUUAUGUGACAGAAUUUGAAAAGGCACUGUGGGCAUAUAUAAUAAUUUAGACUUAUUAAUGUUAAUCAGAUUUUACAACUUCUUUCUUUCUUCCUCUUUUUGCAGUAAGGGAUUGUAAUCAACAAUCAGUCUUUCUCAACAAUCAACAACCUUUAUUUCCUGCUCACGUUCAUUAUUUUUCCUCCAGGCAUCUCAUUUAGAUGACUGAUUUUUGACUUUUGUGGCUUCUUAGACUUUGAAAUGAAGCAAGGUGCUUUUUUUUUUUUUUUUUUUUUAAAUGAGCAUGAAAACAACUGUGUAAACAUAUGAAGAAAAAAAGCAUUGUAUCCCUGUAUCAGUGCAUCAAAAUGUAAUACAGUGACAUUACAACAGGCUUGGCAAAUACGUCACGAUGCGCAUGAAGCAACUGAAGCUUCUGCGCUGCUGUGGCGACUAAAAGUAGCAGCAGACAAAAGCGUCAGAUCCAUGUGGAGAGAUUAAGAGACUAUAACAGUAUGUCCUCACCAAAAAUACUGCAUUUUUCCAUUACCUUUUUUUUCACCUUUUAUGGUUUGACUACGGUUUAAAGCUUUUUCGUUUGCAUCUGGAAAACAGAACGUGGCAGGAAAAUUAGAGACAUCAGCUCAAAUGUGUAUUUUCUGUAUUUUCUGUCAGUAUUGAGAUAUAAACCUAACAUUAACUACUCACCCCUUGUGAAUGCUUACACUUUUACAAAUUUUCACAUUACAAAGUGUUUACAGUUUUCCCAAUACUGUGCAGUAUGUCAUCACAAAAAAAUACUAUGAACGACACAAGGUAACUUUGAUGAUUGACUGUUUGAAGUCUAACUGUAAGCAAAAGCGAUGCCAUCUUGGUCCUUGUGGCAUCACAAACCCCUUUGAAUGUACUCACUGGUUUGAUGAUAUAGUGACGCUUGAAGGGUGCUUAAAAUCAUUCUUUGUCUUUGAUCGCAUUCCCUGCCUUAGUGGACCAAAG
Molecule: long non-coding RNA, 1123 nt
Organism: Astatotilapia calliptera (eastern happy)
Lineage: Eukaryota; Metazoa; Chordata; Actinopteri; Cichliformes; Cichlidae
Source: Ensembl